CAGAAGAGGAACUUGAGUUGCCACUGAGCACUGGCGCCAGAAACAAUGGACAAGAUACUGGGAGCAUCAUUUUUGAUUCUGUGGCUUCAGCUAGUCUGGGUGAAUGGACAACAGAAGGAAACAAGUGACCAACAGCAGGUGAAACAGAGCCCUCAGUCUUUGCCAGUCCAGGAAGGAGAGAUUUCCAUUCUGAACUGUAGUUAUGAGAACAGUUGGUUUGACUACUUCCUGUGGUACCAACAAUAUCCUGGUAAAGGCCCUGCAUUCUUGAUGGCCAUACGUUCAGUUGUGAAUGAAAUGAAGGAUGGAAGACUCACAGUUUUCCUUAAUAAGAGUGCCAAACAGCUCUCAUUGCACCUCGCAACUCCCCAGCCUGGAGACUCAGCCACCUACUUCUGUGCAGCAAGUGCACAGUGCUCCCCAGGCACCUGCAGCCUGUACCCAAACCUGCAGCCGAGGCUCCAGACACACCCUGCUGUGCAGAUGAAACACACACACAAUUUGUUUGUGCAUAAAAGUCUUAAUAUAUUUAAGACUACUGAAAUUAUACAGAAUUUAUUCUUUCAUCAAAAUGGAAUUGAUACAGAAAAUCAGUUGUUAAAAGAUGUCUCUAAAAGCUCCCAAACAUUUGGAAUACAUGCACUAACUUAAAAAUAACCAUGGGUUACAGAAACAAUUACAAU
Molecule: non-coding RNA, 683 nt
Organism: Bubalus bubalis (water buffalo)
Lineage: Eukaryota; Metazoa; Chordata; Mammalia; Artiodactyla; Bovidae
Source: the annotation of a RefSeq genome assembly